This is a long non-coding RNA of Pyrus x bretschneideri (Chinese white pear), 610 nucleotides long. RefSeq lists it as uncharacterized. The transcript has 4 exons. The record is from RefSeq and is a predicted model, not a curated record. NCBI's taxonomy places the organism in Eukaryota, Viridiplantae, Streptophyta, Magnoliopsida, Rosales, Rosaceae.
UCGCCAACUCCAAAUUGGAGAUGUCACCAUCCCUCAAUUUUGGGCGUAUACAGGCCUUUGGAAUUGGCAGAAUUUUGGGUCGUUGGAGGCAGAAGUUGGUUGCUUUGCUUGGCAUGAUGAGGACUUCAUUAACCGUUUAGAAGCGCAGCCAACGAUGCGAGAGCAGAAGGGGAGCAAGCAUGUGAGUGCGGAAGACUUUGCUGCUUGAACAAGAACGACUGCUGCAGGGCGUUCUACAUGUUUUUGGCUUUCAACAUUUUUGCUUCAAGACUUAGCUGCUUGAACAAGAACGAAACUCCAUCUUAACUGCAAGGCAAAAUAUGUGUGGACUGCAUGUUACUUCUCCUGCAUGUUUUUCGCUUUGCACGUUUGUCCUUGAAAACUUAGAUGCUAGAAUAAGAACGAAACAGUUUUUAUGUUGCCUAAUCUACAUGAUAUAUAUUUUGCCACAUUGACUACAAGGGCAAGAUUUGUGUGAACUGUAUGUUACUUCUGUUUAUUAGGGAACCAAAACGUUCAGUUUCGUCCUGUUCAUGGUACAAUGUCUUUUCAUGUCAGCUCAGUUGAAUGUAUAUAAAAACGAAGCUGCAUAUCUUACUAACCUCAUUCA